This is a long non-coding RNA of Gossypium raimondii (Peruvian cotton), 1465 nucleotides long. RefSeq lists it as uncharacterized. Lineage: Eukaryota; Viridiplantae; Streptophyta; Magnoliopsida; Malvales; Malvaceae. The transcript is spliced from 2 exons. The record is from RefSeq and is a predicted model, not a curated record.
GGGGGGCUGACCGAAUAUGUCAUGGAAGCCAUGGCUAGGGUUUGGUUCAAGCUUUCAAGCUCCAUAGCACAAUGUGCCGUACUGGUGUGUUUGGUUGGAAUCCACGUAUCCGUCAAAGCCCGAGUCUAUUAAUAGAGGUAAUUAAAUGAAAAGUUAUCGAACGAAAUGAAACAGUCGAGCCAUUGAAAGGAAACGUUAUUGUGGCAUAUAAUUUGAAAAUGUGAAUUAAAUAUGACCAUGUGAAUAGAAAGUAUGAACUAAUUGUUCCUGAAAUAAAUAAAGGCUCAAUGUAAUAGUAUAUGAUGUUACCAAAUGAAAGCCAAAUUGAAUUGUAAAUAUUGAGAAAUGAAUUAUUAUUGGUAUUGAUCUCAAAUAAAUGUAACCAAUGAUAUUUAAAUGAUAUAACGGGCAAAGUUUUGAAGUGAGAUAACAUGAGUUUGAAAUGAACUAUUCUUGGUAUGUACGCAUAAUUCAUGAAAAUGAUAAUACAUGAAAUAUCGAAAUAAUGAAAUGAAUGAUAUAUGCUUAUAGAGAAACGGCAAGAGAAUGAUAUGUAUCAUGACAUGUAAAUGUAUGAUUAUCUUUAAUAUGUUGAUACAAGAAAAAAAUUAUGUAUGAUGAGUUUAUAUGAAAUUUUAUAACACGGUUUAAUAUGUUUACAAGUGUAUGUGUUCUGGUAAUGCCUCGUACCCUGUUUACAAGUGUAUGUGUUCUGGUAAUGCCUCGUACCCUAUUUCAGCGUCGAAUACGGGUAAGGGGUGUUACACGAAGCCAAUCUUCUAGAAAUAGGAGAAAACCUUUCGAUUUUCGACGUUCUCUGUUGCGGCCUUGGCCGAACCCCUAGGGAUUCGACAGCCUUCGGACCGGAAGAGAUAAUGAUAAUGGUGUGAAGACCAAACAACAGGUGAUCGAUUUUUAUUUAUAACUUGUAAAAAAGAAAAAAAAAAGUAAAUCACCUUUAAAUUUUUGUAUUCUGUUUUUUAUUUGCUUUUUGUUAGUAUUUCUUCAUGUAUUUUCGUGUAUCUUUUUUUUUUGUUCGAUUUCUAUUUCAAAAAACCAACCCCUUACAAUCUUUUUUUAGGCUUUUUAUAGCCGAUUUGCACUAUUAUUUUUUCUAUUUUUUCUACUGUUCUUGUUGCCCUUGCGUGUUUGUCUGUCUUUUUUCUUUUUUGCAUGUGGUGGUUGACGAUGACGGUGGCAGACCUUGGGGCGCAAGCAUGCUGACGUGGCAUUUUGAAAUAGUUUGGGCCACUGGGACUCUAGGUUUUUUAUUUAUUUGGGCUCUUUUGGGCUUGUAAAUUUGGGCCUGAUGUAAAUGGACUGUUUAUUUUAUUGGACUUUAAUAUUUUUUCAUUUGGUUUAUGGUGGGCCGGAUAGAAUUGGGCAUUUACAAUAUAUGUUGUAGGUAAUGGCAAUGAAUAACCUAUUUUAAAUUUCGGAUUAAUGAAUCAGAUGCGUUUUCAGA